UACGGAGGGUGCAAGCGUUAAUCGGAUUUAUUGGGCGUAAAGGGGGCGUAGGCGGGAAAGCAAGUCAGAUGUGAAAUUCCGGGGCUCAACCUCGGAGCUGCAUUUGAAACUCCUUUUCUUGAGGAAAGGCGGAGAAAACGGAAUUCCACAAGUAGCGGUGAAAUGCGUAGAUAUGUGGAAGAACACCUGUGGCGAAAGCGGUUUUCUAGCUUAUUCCUGACGCUGAGGCCCGAAAGCUAGGGGAGCAAACAGG
This 253-nucleotide ribosomal RNA is filed under the name uncultured bacterium. Its description in RNAcentral is "partial 16S ribosomal RNA". It matches the Rfam family "Bacterial small subunit ribosomal RNA", at positions 524 to 776 of the family's 1533-position model. The record is from RNAcentral.